Molecule: ribosomal RNA, 960 nt
Filed under: Neoascochyta sp.
Lineage: Eukaryota; Fungi; Ascomycota; Dothideomycetes; Pleosporales; Didymellaceae
Description: partial large subunit ribosomal RNA
Rfam family: Eukaryotic large subunit ribosomal RNA
Source: RNAcentral
ACAGGGAUUGCCCUAGUAACGGCGAGUGAAGCGGCAACAGCUCAAAUUUGAAAUCUGGCGUCUUUGGCGUCCGAGUUGUAAUUUGCAGAGGGCGCUUUGGCGUUGGCAGCGGUCCAAGUUCCUUGGAACAGGACGUCACAGAGGGUGAGAAUCCCGUACGUGGUCGCUGGCCUUCGCCGUGUAAAGCCCCUUCGACGAGUCGAGUUGUUUGGGAAUGCAGCUCUAAAUGGGAGGUAAAUUUCUUCUAAAGCUAAAUACUGGCCAGAGACCGAUAGCGCACAAGUAGAGUGAUCGAAAGAUGAAAAGCACUUUGGAAAGAGAGUCAAACAGCACGUGAAAUUGUUGAAAGGGAAGCGCUUGCAGCCAGACUUGCCUGUAGUUGCUCAUCCGGACUUUUGUCCGGUGCACUCUUCUAUAGGCAGGCCAGCAUCAGUUUGGGCGGUUGGAUAAAGGUCUCUGUCAUGUACCUCUCUUCGGGGAGAACUUAUAGGGGAGACGACAUGCAACCAGCCUGGACUGAGGUCCGCGCAUCUGCUAGGAUGCUGGCGUAAUGGCUGUAAGCGGCCCGUCUUGAAACACGGACCAAGGAGUCUAACAUCUAUGCGAGUGUUUGGGUGUCAAGCCCGAGCGCGCAAUGAAAGUGAACGGAGGUGGGAACCUUUCGGGGUGCACCAUCGACCGAUCCUGAUGUCUUCGGAUGGAUUUGAGUAAGAGCAUAGCUGUUGGGACCCGAAAGAUGGUGAACUAUGCUUGAAUAGGGUGAAGCCAGAGGAAACUCUGGUGGAGGCUCGCAGCGGUUCUGACGUGCAAAUCGAUCGUCAAAUUUGGGCAUAGGGGCGAAAGACUAAUCGAACUAUCUAGUAGCUGGUUCCUGCCGAAGUUUCCCUCAGGAUAGCAGUAACGUAUUCAGUUUUAUGAGGUAAAGCGAAUGAUUAGAGGCCUGGGGGUUGAAACAACCUU